Molecule: ribosomal RNA, 229 nt
Filed under: uncultured bacterium
Lineage: Bacteria
Description: partial 16S ribosomal RNA
Rfam family: Bacterial small subunit ribosomal RNA
Source: RNAcentral
UAAAGUGGCGCACGGGUGAGUAACACGUGGAUCAUCUACCUUUUAGUGGGGAAUACCUCUGGGAAACCGGAGACAAUACCGCAUAAGCCUGCAAAGGGAAAGCCGAAAGGCGCUGAAAGAGGAGUCCGCGGCCGAUUAGCUAGUUGGUGAGGUAAUGGCUCACCAAGGCGAAGAUCGGUAGCCGGCCUGAGAGGGCACACGGCCACACUGGCACUGAAACACGGGCCAG